This is a long non-coding RNA of Betta splendens (Siamese fighting fish), 2924 nucleotides long. RefSeq lists it as uncharacterized. Lineage: Eukaryota; Metazoa; Chordata; Actinopteri; Anabantiformes; Osphronemidae. The transcript has 4 exons. The record is from RefSeq and is a predicted model, not a curated record.
GCAUUUCCUCGUGUUGUUCCAGACAAACUGCAGUUUUUUGAAUAUGACACCGUUUCUAUAUGUUGUGAUGAGACUGGUGGUGAUGACUGGAGGGUGGUGAGGAAAAUCAGAGACGCAGACACAGGAAAUCGUUCUCACUGGGACUCAUCAGCUUCAUCCUGUGUCACUAAACCUGCACUUUCCAGACACAGUGGAGAAUAUUGGUGUGAAAACGAGAAGGGACAAAGAGGCGGCUCCGUCACCAUCACAGUCACUGACGGGUCUGUGGUUCUGGAGAGCCCGGCCCGUCCUGUGCUGGAGGGAACCUCUGUGACUCUGCUCUGCAGAAAGAGGAGGAACGCGUCCGUCGGCAUCUCAGACUUCUACAAGGACGGAUCCCUGGUGAGAACAGGCUACAGAGGAGCGAUGAGCAUCUCCAAUGUGUCCCUGUCACAUGACGGACUUUACAGGUGUCACAUGUCUGGAGCUGCAUCACCAGAGAGUCGCCUGUCUGUCAAAGGUGAAAGCAAGCAGGGAAAAUCUCAUACAUAGAGAUACAUUCAUUUAUUGUAGUGGAACAUGUGCUCUGUUUUAAUGCAGGAACAUAAUGUUUUAUUUUUUUCCACAGCUUCUUUAGAAAAGAAUGAUGGACACAGUCACUCGUCUGGUUUCUCUGUGUGGAUCGUUGUCAGUGUUUUACUGGUGGCUUUGUUGCUGCUGGUCAUGUUAGUCGUUUGCUUUAAUAAAUCCAAAGGUAAAAAUACAAACAUUAAAUCAAGCACUUUAAAAAUGAGAUACUGCGAGAUGUCUUUUACUCACAUCUUCUGCAGCUUUUGAUCUCAUGCUGUCGACAUAUUUAAUGGUCUGUUGCCAUUUAGUCUUUUUUCAUUUGAAUUCUAUUUUUUGUUUAUUGCAGCUUUUGUGUAGAUUGUAGUUCUAUCGUUGCCAUUCUUUAUCUUGCGUUGCAUAUGUUUCCUUUUUGUCAGACAAACCUACAGCAUCACAAGCUUGUGAAGAUGAAGGUAAGGAAUGUGGACACACGUAUCUGAUUCAGAAUAAAACUGUGUAUGUGAAACUGAAUGAAUGAACAUUUCACAUAUCUAAAGUUUAAAUUGUCUUGAUACAUAAAUGUCAGUGUAUUAUUAAUUUGUGUAUAUACAUAUACAUUGUAUUGUAGUCAGUACAAGUGAACUAAUGCCUGUGUUCAAGUGACAUCUCAGUCGAUUCAGCUCAGGCAACAUGUGCUGUAGUCAAAAAGCUAAAGAGGGUGAAAGGUACUUGUUAAUUCACUCUCUUUUUAUUAGACAUCAUCAUAUCUAUUAGAGAAUGUGGAGCUCAUGAGCACUGUGUUAACCAACUAUUCCCAUCAAAGCUCUACAGUUGUACAGUGAUCAUCUGUUGUGCUCAGUUCCACAGGAGAACAGUGCUGAGGACCCACAUGAUGUGACGUAUGCUUCUGUCCAAACUCACAGAACAAACAAAGGCCGAGACGUGAGGAGAGCAGGUACAAAGUCAGAUCCAACGGAGGAAAAGGACAUUUAUUCUCGAAUCAACUUGUAGAUUUACUCUGGGAUCUUGUGGCAACGUGUGACAGUGACCACUGGGAUUGUUUCCAUUCAGUCAUUAAGGACUCACCACGUUAGAGCUGAGCUGAAGACUGAGUCUGUCGGUGGCUGCUGCCUUUAUUCUCCUCAAACGUUUACUGAAUCUUGUCUUUGCUGUUUUUCAUAAACUAAAGGAACAGUUUUCCAGCUCUGAUAAAACUUUAGGCCAAAUAAAAUGUUAUGUCCUGUUAUUUCUGUGGAGAUGAUGCACUGUGACUGUGACCAACAGACCAACACACAACACGUUUAUUUACUCAAUGUCUGUUUUUAUGUCUAACAGUUCAGCGUGAGUGCAGUUUUAGUGCUGGAACCCACAUGUUUCUGUGUAAUAACAGAGUCACCUGUGGAGCUACUGUGUGAAGAUGAAGGACACAGUUGGUCUGAUGUGUGUGAACCGUGUGUCACGUUAACUGACACGUUGUGUAACUGUUUAUAUCAACGCGGCUCAUGUGCGUCUGUGUGAAAAAUACCUACAGAAACAGGUGAACCACAUGAGCAAACCACAGCCUGAAACACACUUUAACCUCCUGCUCAGGUCGAGACGGGAAGAAAAACUGCAUUCACCACUAACCGCUUGGUCUAUGGCUGCUAAUAUAUAGUGUAUAUACAUGAUAUGAUACUAAAUGUUUAAUCGUUUACUGCAACUCACAUUUAAGGUGCUACUUUGUUAAUCUGUUGCAACUAAUCAGAAAAAAACAUCACAUAUUAGAAUUUACUGAAGAAUGAAAAACAAUUUACUGCUGUUUGUUUUGAGGACGUGUCACGUAUGAACUAAACAUUCGUCAGUAUUCACACAGUGGAGAAAGUUAGCAGCACCAUGUCAUGCAUCACAGACUGAUUCCACUGAUCAGAAGUCAGAGAUACGUAAUAGAAUCAAAAUGUAAAUGGUUAGUAUCAUAAAGUACUUUACUUCUUCAAAGUAAUUGAAUUCUGCUGACACUGCGUUUUAUCAUGAGUGACUAUCUAACUCUCAGAUCGGCACUGGUCAUAAUCACUGAACCAUAAAGUGGUUGUUAAAUCCACUGUAUGUAACCUUUGCUUCUCUACAAAGCUACUUAUAUAAACUACUAAUACUGUGUAUUAAUCUCCAAAAUUAGUUCUUUUCAUUUUAUUACGUAUGUUUCUGAAUUCUGUCUUAUUUAUUGUACAAACAAUAUUCUUGAUGAGAUUCGUCAGAUUAACGGAGCAACUGUUCAAUCUGUCCAUUUUAAGUCAGUAACUGAAUGUCUAUUUUAGAGGGACUGGUUCAGUCUAAUGUAUCUGAAGAUGUGGUUUAAACAGAAGCACGUCUGCAUGUUUAUAAAUGUAUCUACUGAGGCGGACUCUUCAAGAAGCUCCUUC